UUUAAAGUGUCAGUUGAUGAGGCUCGAUAAAGUUACAUAUGCAAUUGAGAAACCGAUGUCGACUUACCAUGAGUGACAAACGAACCGAAGUUUCUGCCUACGAUACAAUGCCAGGUAGGUGAAAACUUUUUGUCAAAUUCUCGUUUGAUAAAUGCGGCAAUAUCCUUUAUCUCUAUGUUAGUACUAGAAAAAAGACAGAGGUGGACGAGACCUCAUUUUUUAAUAAAACUAACGUACUUUCUCAAUCGUGAAUUUUUCCAUUGCUUGAACAGCUAAAACGUCUUAGAAACAAAUAAUUUAAUGUUUAAAAAAAUCUACCUGCGUGAAUAGCUUCUUGCUGCAUCUUCUCUGACUAUAAUAAUCGAUUAGUUUCGAGAUCCAUAAUAAAACCAGCUUUCUUACCAUAUCGACAGCCUUGAUGACUGCCAUCAAUCUUUCCUCAUUCUUAGUACGACUAGAGGAUAAUUUUUCGACAUCCUCUUGCUCAGUAGCAGGGUUCCUCAACAUUGUGAAAGUUAAAUUUUGCAAACACGUGUGUCCUGUUUAAAAUGGUAAGGAGCUAGCGGUGUCGGAAUUUCCUUAAAUUGAAUGACUAAUAAUUAGAUCAGUAAAAAGGUUCCUUAAUAAAACUCAUCUUUCUAAUCUAUAGGUACUUCGGGUUUUUGUGAAAGGGCAUUAUUAUUAGCUAGCGAAACUGAUUCCA
This is a non-coding RNA of Schizosaccharomyces pombe (fission yeast), 703 nucleotides long. NCBI's taxonomy places the organism in Eukaryota, Fungi, Ascomycota, Schizosaccharomycetes, Schizosaccharomycetales, Schizosaccharomycetaceae. The record is from the annotation of a GenBank genome assembly.